RNAcentral lists this long non-coding RNA (348 nucleotides) under Elaeis guineensis (African oil palm). Its description in RNAcentral is "long non-coding RNA (EGUI_LNC067766)". Lineage: Eukaryota; Viridiplantae; Streptophyta; Magnoliopsida; Arecales; Arecaceae. The record is from RNAcentral.
GGGAUGCGGGGAGCUAGGUUCUGCCAUGGAGGGUGGAGGAGAGGCCUCUUCUCGGCGGGAAGAGCGCCAAGCCGAUCCAGUGACCCUCGAUCGCUGAGCUCUUGUCUUUGUCAUCUUGGAUUCCGUGGGGGUUGUAAUCCCUGGUGCUGUUGAUCGUAGGCUCAGCCCCUACCUGGCGCGCCAAUCUGUUGCGGCCAAUCUCUUCAUCGCCUGGUCGUCGGGAACGAGCGUCUGCAAAAGAAAAUCCACACUGACCGGAGGUGGCUCCGAUGGGGACCCUUCGACGGUCGAGUCAGAGAGGAGACUAGGCAAUAGUAAAAGAAAACAAGGAGCUCAACGAGAGAGAGC